CACAUUAUUAACUUUCAUUUCCAAAAUAUAUGCCAAGAAAGCACAAUCACAAAUUAAACUCCCACCAUAACGGCAAAUAUCAAACAAAUAUUUGAUAUACAUCUCAAUAACUACGCCGUGAUUCACUCUCACAUAAUAUAACAUGUCACCAAUAAAUUGACAAACACAUCCCCGACCUUAAUAACAAACGCAAAAAAGGAAAAAAAACUCACAAUGUCCCAUUCUCUUUGGCUAUCUCUAUAUUGUACUUGAAAUAUUGGAUACACUCGAAUGGAAAACAGAUAAAACUCGCAUCGAAGUCGCUUCUAUAAAUGCUGGAAACGGACCAAAAGUUAUAUUCAUGGAGUGAGAGUCACCUGACUAGAUUGCUAUCUGACCAAUUAUAGAUGCAGAAGAAAAACAAUAAUAUGUCAAUGAUCCAACAUAAAUAAUUGAUGUGACACAUGAUAUGAUGCUACCACUAUAAGUAAAUGACAAAAUUUAUUUCUGUAUUUGAGUGAAAUAUAAUUAAAAAAAAUUCUAGAAUACCUUUUCCCUUCUGCUAACAAAACAAAUUCUGACUAACACCAAACAAAAAAAUUCGAGAAGAUAAAACAUGCUAGAUUAGCCAAAGGCAAUGUGAUUUUCAUAUUUGGUUCAGAAUUUUUUUGAAUAAAAACAUUGUUAGAAACACAUUCAUAAUCCCGGAUGUAAUACAUUCAUAUUAACUAAAAUCAAACAUAAAACUUUAACACACAAUUAAAAAAUAUAUUAAAAUACUACACAUAUAGUCUCAUGUAAGUGCAAAAAAAAGAUAAAAUAUUUCUAUUAAAAUAAUAUAACUGAAACGAAUACUGAUAAUUGAAUAGUAUAAUGUCAUAAAAUAUAGUUGAUAACAAAUAAAAAUCUAAACACGUAAAAAUUAUAAAAAAAUAUCAGAUGUUAACAAAAUAAAUAUAUGUAUAUAUAUUAGCAAACUACAAACAAAUUAUAUUAAUUAUAUUUAAUUUAAAGAAUUUUUCAAAUGUUUUAUACAACAAAAGUACAUUUUAAUAUAAAAUAAUUUCAAUGCAAACUCACCCGCCCCUAGGGCGGACUAACCCCUAGUAUUAUCUAUAAAUCAUUAUUUUAGUGAUUGGCCUAUACAAGAUAGACAAAUCAGGUAUUUCCAGUUUGAGAUUAAUAUUGUAUAUCAAUAGGUGGUUAAAGAUAGCAAGGAGAAAAAAAAUUAUUACAUAAAAUAAAGCGGAUCUUUCUCUCUUCUGACGAAGCUCCGCCAUCACCGUGUCUCCGCUCUCAGCUGCCCACCAGCAUCUCAUCCGACGUCGGCUUCUCAGCCAUCUUGCUGCUCCGAAUCCGUGAAGCUGAUGAAGAAAAAAAAAGCCCAAAUCAUCUUCUGGUGUGCAGUCUACCCCGAAGACCUAUUCUUUGGGGAAAGCUAUCUCCGUUCGCUCAAUUUUUCCAGAUCCGUCUACCUCGUUCUCAAAGGUUGCUUGCGAUAUCCUAUUAAACAUGCUUGCUGACCCAGUAGCUCAGCAAUACCUAGGACAAAAUUAUUUGGUUACCCCUCCCACGGAUUCUCCUUCAAAAAAGAUAGCGAUCGCCAAUAUAGUAGCAAAUCCAUCUUCGCAAAGCACCAUCGAGGUGCUAAAACUUAGCUUCUGCUGAUGCCAAGAUAGAAUCUUUGAGCUCGCGGCACUAUUGUGGACUAUGCUCCAUAGCUCGACUCACACAAAAUUUCUACUCAGUUGGAUGCUCAACCGUCAACAAACAGUCGCUCUAAAUCUCAUUGGUUCUAGAAGCAAGGAAGACUCCUUGAAUUUCUCAGCCAAGCAGAACAAGGUAUCAAGUACUAAGGAAGCUGACCCGACUGACACAUGGCGUGCUCAUGCAAAGGGGACAGGCAAGCCACUAAAUGAAUCAGGGUACGCGUUCACGUUAUUUUCAAGGGAGUCUUGGCCUAAAGCAAAGAGAUCGCAAUAUUGUAUAAUGGACGAUAAGUUAUACAAAUGUAGCCACACAGAACCUUACCUCGCUAGUGUGCACGUAUAAGAAGCCUUACCCAUCAUGAAAGAUAUGCAUGAUGGCCGAUGCGGGUUUCACUCUAGAGGUCGAACUCUCCCCCUGCGCAUUAAAAAGAAAUGAUAUUUUUGGCCAACUAUGGCCAAGGAUUGCGAGGGAUACUCCCUUAAAUGCAAAAUGACAGCUCAAUGUGCCAAUACUCCGGAUGCUAACAGAACUGUUAUCAUCUGUAUAUAAUAGGCCCGGUGGUAUAUUCAGGACCAAGGCAACUCUGAUACUUGCUUGUCUUGAUUGAUAAUUUCACCUAGUUGAUCGAGGCCGAAGCCUACCAUAAAAUGGAGAAUCUCGAUAUGCACGACUUUGUAUGGAAGGACAUUAUUUUCCGUCAUGGAAUUCUCUACGAGACUGUCACCAAUAACAGACCUCAAUUCAUUUCCAAGAAUUUGUAGCAUUGUGAAAACUCUGGAAAAUCAAACUGACGACCUCGACCUAGUACUACCCUUAAGGGAACAGACAGACCGAGGUAGCAAAUAAGUGAAUCUUAUAUAACAUUAAGAAGCGUUUAAACUAUAUAAAA
Brassica napus (rape) is the source of this 2578-nucleotide long non-coding RNA. RefSeq lists it as uncharacterized. NCBI's taxonomy places the organism in Eukaryota, Viridiplantae, Streptophyta, Magnoliopsida, Brassicales, Brassicaceae. The transcript has 2 exons. The record is from RefSeq and is a predicted model, not a curated record.